Molecule: long non-coding RNA, 783 nt
Organism: Vespula pensylvanica (western yellowjacket)
Lineage: Eukaryota; Metazoa; Arthropoda; Insecta; Hymenoptera; Vespidae
Exons: 3
Source: RefSeq, a predicted model, not a curated record
CGAUUGUAAUUCCGCUGAUUGACGACUUCGACGAACGGCGAAACGCCAACCAGCUUCCAAACCAUCCAAUUGUGCAUAAAAUAAACGUACCUUGAUGAAAAGACGAUCUCGAAUUAUUAUAAUUACGAAUAUAGAAAAGAGAUCGUAAAACUAUUUAGAUCUAAGAACUCUUGGCCAAGUCUACACAAGAAGAAAAUAUUCGGACGAACCCAUUUUCUAAAAUUCCAGUUUUGUAAUAUGCACGUGCGGCAUUUAAUGGAAUAGAAGUAAGAUCAUUGCCUUGGCCCCAAAAGUCAAUACGGUAUCCUCCCUUGUGAUUCCACGACACAGUUGCUGAAUACGUUCCAUCCUUCUCAACGCUAUUUCAAAGAAGUCAGCAGUUACAUACGUACAUAAGAAAGAAAUAGGAAGACAAAUUUCAAACAUUCUGUUCAAAUUACACAACUAAGCAAUUUAACCGAGAAUAUUCUUUUUUUUUUAUCACUACAAAUAUCGAUUUACGCUUAUCGUGUCAAUUUAAGUGUCUUUGCUAAGUUAUUUAUCGAUUCGAAUGAUUAAUAAUACAUGACGAACGAGGAGGAUUAAUCAUAAAAAAAAAAAAAAAAAAAAAAAUAAGAAAAAAAAAAACGAAGAAAGUCAUAGUUAACGUUAUCAUGGAUGAAAUUAUAUCGCAGUAUAUUUUAUUUUAUUGUAAAAAUCAAUAAGAGAUAGAAGAAAUUCGAUUGAAACUUUUUCUAUAUUUUAUUAUUAUGUCAAUAUAUAGAUAUACGAAAGUUAUGAAAA